This 625-nucleotide ribosomal RNA is filed under the name uncultured archaeon. RNAcentral describes it as "bacterial SSU rRNA". It matches the Rfam family "Archaeal small subunit ribosomal RNA", at positions 147 to 774 of the family's 1478-position model. The record is from RNAcentral.
UAAUACUCCAUAGGUCACGAGAUCUGGAAAGACUUGUGGCUCAAAGUUCAGGCGCUCUAGGAUUGGUCUGCGGCCUAUCAGGUAGUAGUGGGUGUAACGGACCCACUAGCCGAUGACGGGUAUGGGCCUUGAGAGAGGGAGCCCAGAGAUGGAUUCUGAGACACGAAUCCAGGCCCUACGGGGCGCAGCAGUCGCGAAAACUUCACAAUGGAGGCAACUCCGAUGAGGGAAUUCCUAGUGCCAAUGCAUUUUGUGUUGGCUUUUCUUCAGCGUAGAUAACUGAUGGAAUAAGGGCUGGGUAAGACGGGUGCCAGCCGCCGCGGUAAUACCCGCAGCCCAAGUGGUGGUCGAUAUUAUUGAGUCUAAAACGUUCGUAGCCGGUUCAAUAAAUCUCUGGGUAAAUCGGAGGGCUCAACCUUCCGAAUUCCGGAGCGACUGUUGAACUUGGGACCGGGAGAGGCAAGAGGUACUUCUGGGGUAGGGGUAAAAUCCUGUAAUCCUAGAAGGACCACCGGUGGCGAAGGCGUCUUGCUAGAACGGAUCCGACGGUGAGGGACGAAGCCCUGGGUCGCAAACGGGAUUAGAUACCCCGGUAGUCCAGGUGUAAACGCUGCCGACUUGGUGU